Molecule: ribosomal RNA, 2825 nt
Filed under: Klebsiella pneumoniae
Lineage: Bacteria; Pseudomonadati; Pseudomonadota; Gammaproteobacteria; Enterobacterales; Enterobacteriaceae
Description: bacterial LSU rRNA
Rfam family: Bacterial large subunit ribosomal RNA
Source: RNAcentral
GGGUUGUGAGGUUAAGCGACUAAGCGUACACGGUGGAUGCCCUGGCAGUCAGAGGCGAUGAAGGACGUGCUAAUCUGCGAAAAGCGUCGGUAAGGUGAUAUGAACCGUUAUAACCGGCGAUGUCCGAAUGGGGAAACCCAGUGCAAUUCGUUGCACUAUCGUUAACUGAAUACAUAGGUUAACGAGGCGAACCGGGGGAACUGAAACAUCUAAGUACCCCGAGGAAAAGAAAUCAACCGAGAUUCCCCCAGUAGCGGCGAGCGAACGGGGAGCAGCCCAGAGUCUGAAUCAGCUUGUGUGUUAGUGGAACGGUCUGGAAAGUCCGACGGUACAGGGUGAUAGUCCCGUACACCAAAAUGCACAGGUUGUGAACUCGAAGAGUAGGGCGGGACACGUGGUAUCCUGUCUGAAUAUGGGGGGACCAUCCUCCAAGGCUAAAUACUCCUGACUGACCGAUAGUGAACCAGUACCGUGAGGGAAAGGCGAAAAGAACCCCGGCGAGGGGAGUGAAAAAGAACCUGAAACCGUGUACGUACAAGCAGUGGGAGCACCUUCGGGUGUGACUGCGUACCUUUUGUAUAAUGGGUCAGCGACUUAUAUUCUGUAGCAAGGUUAACCGUAUAGGGGAGCCGCAGGGAAACCGAGUCUUAACUGGGCGUUAAGUUGCAGGGUAUAGACCCGAAACCCGGUGAUCUAGCCAUGGGCAGGUUGAAGGUUGGGUAACACUAACUGGAGGACCGAACCGACUAAUGUUGAAAAAUUAGCGGAUGACUUGUGGCUGGGGGUGAAAGGCCAAUCAAACCGGGAGAUAGCUGGUUCUCCCCGAAAGCUAUUUAGGUAGCGCCUCGUGAAUUCAUCUUCGGGGGUAGAGCACUGUUUCGGCUAGGGGGUCAUCCCGACUUACCAACCCGAUGCAAACUACGAAUACCGAAGAAUGUUAUCACGGGAGACACACGGCGGGUGCUAACGUCCGUCGUGAAGAGGGAAACAACCCAGACCGCCAGCUAAGGUCCCAAAGUCAUGGUUAAGUGGGAAACGAUGUGGGAAGGCACAGACAGCCAGGAUGUUGGCUUAGAAGCAGCCAUCAUUUAAAGAAAGCGUAAUAGCUCACUGGUCGAGUCGGCCUGCGCGGAAGAUGUAACGGGGCUAAACCAUGCACCGAAGCUGCGGCAGCGACACUAUGUGUUGUUGGGUAGGGGAGCGUUCUGUAAGCCUGCGAAGGUGUGCUGUGAGGCAUGCUGGAGGUAUCAGAAGUGCGAAUGCUGACAUAAGUAACGAUAAAGCGGGUGAAAAGCCCGCUCGCCGGAAGACCAAGGGUUCCUGUCCAACGUUAAUCGGGGCAGGGUGAGUCGACCCCUAAGGCGAGGCCGAAAGGCGUAGUCGAUGGGAAACAGGUUAAUAUUCCUGUACUUGGUGUUACUGCGAAGGGGGGACGGAGAAGGCUAUGUUAGCCGGGCGACGGUUGUCCCGGUUUAAGCAUGUAGGCUGGUUGUCCAGGCAAAUCCGGAUAAUCAAGGCUGAGGUGUGAUGACGAGGCACUACGGUGCUGAAGUAACAAAUGCCCUGCUUCCAGGAAAAGCCUCUAAGCAUCAGGUAACAUCAAAUCGUACCCCAAACCGACACAGGUGGUCAGGUAGAGAAUACCAAGGCGCUUGAGAGAACUCGGGUGAAGGAACUAGGCAAAAUGGUGCCGUAACUUCGGGAGAAGGCACGCUGGUGUGUAGGUGAAGUCCCUGCGGAUGGAGCUGAGACCAGUCGAAGAUACCAGCUGGCUGCAACUGUUUAUUAAAAACACAGCACUGUGCAAACACGAAAGUGGACGUAUACGGUGUGACGCCUGCCCGGUGCCGGAAGGUUAAUUGAUGGGGUUAUCCGUAAGGAGAAGCUCUUGAUCGAAGCCCCGGUAAACGGCGGCCGUAACUAUAACGGUCCUAAGGUAGCGAAAUUCCUUGUCGGGUAAGUUCCGACCUGCACGAAUGGCGUAAUGAUGGCCAGGCUGUCUCCACCCGAGACUCAGUGAAAUUGAACUCGCUGUGAAGAUGCAGUGUACCCGCGGCAAGACGGAAAGACCCCGUGAACCUUUACUAUAGCUUGACACUGAACAUUGAGCCUUGAUGUGUAGGAUAGGUGGGAGGCUUUGAAGCGUGGACGCCAGUCUGCGUGGAGCCAACCUUGAAAUACCACCCUUUAAUGUUUGAUGUUCUAACGUUGGCCCCUGACCGGGGUUGCGGACAGUGUCUGGUGGGUAGUUUGACUGGGGCGGUCUCCUCCCAAAGCGUAACGGAGGAGCACGAAGGUUAGCUAAUCCUGGUCGGACAUCAGGAGGUUAGUGCAAUGGCAUAAGCUAGCUUGACUGCGAGCGUGACGGCGCGAGCAGGUGCGAAAGCAGGUCAUAGUGAUCCGGUGGUUCUGAAUGGAAGGGCCAUCGCUCAACGGAUAAAAGGUACUCCGGGGAUAACAGGCUGAUACCGCCCAAGAGUUCAUAUCGACGGCGGUGUUUGGCACCUCGAUGUCGGCUCAUCACAUCCUGGGGCUGAAGUAGGUCCCAAGGGUAUGGCUGUUCGCCAUUUAAAGUGGUACGCGAGCUGGGUUUAGAACGUCGUGAGACAGUUCGGUCCCUAUCUGCCGUGGGCGCUGGAGAAUUGAGGGGGGCUGCUCCUAGUACGAGAGGACCGGAGUGGACGCAUCACUGGUGUUCGGGUUGUCAUGCCAAUGGCACUGCCCGGUAGCUAAAUGCGGAAGAGAUAAGUGCUGAAAGCAUCUAAGCACGAAACUUGCCCCGAGAUGAGUUCUCCCUGAGACUUUAAGUCUCCUGAAGGAACGUU